This 433-nucleotide ribosomal RNA is filed under the name uncultured bacterium. RNAcentral describes it as "partial 16S ribosomal RNA". It matches the Rfam family "Bacterial small subunit ribosomal RNA", at positions 29 to 507 of the family's 1533-position model. The record is from RNAcentral.
AACGAACGCUGGCGGCAUGCCUAAUACAUGCAAGUCGAACGAGACCUUCGGGUAUAGUGGCGCACGGGUGCGUAACGCGUGGGAACCUGCCCUUAGGUUCGGAAUAACUCCCCGAAAGGGGUGCUAAUACCUGAUAAUGUCUUAGGCCCAAAGAUUUAUCGCCUAUGGAUGGGCCCGCGUUGGAUUAGCUAGUUGGUAGGGUAAAAGCCUACCAAGGCGACGAUCCAUAGCUGGUCUGAGAGGAUGAUCAGCCACACUGGGACUGAGACACGGCCCAGACUCCUACGGGAGGAAGCAGUGGUGAAUAUUGGACGAUGGGCGAAAGCCUGAUCCAGCAAUGCCGCGUGAGUGAUGAAGGCCUUAGGGUUGUAAAGCUCUUUUACCCGGGAUGAUAAUGACAGUACCGGGAGAAUAAGAGCCGGCUAACUCCGUG